AAUAAGGUGACCGAUUUAAGGUAUUAGUCUCUUAAAUUAAUUAUGAAUAAGGUAGUUAAAUUAAUAUUAAUUU
This 73-nucleotide transfer RNA is filed under the name Phintella cavaleriei. Its description in RNAcentral is "tRNA-Lys". The record is from RNAcentral. Lineage: Eukaryota; Metazoa; Arthropoda; Arachnida; Araneae; Salticidae.